AUGGCAUCUCAGGAAGAGACGGGCGGAUCGCGCCCAAGGAAGGAACCGAUCGAUGAUCUUCUAAAGCGCCUGGAUCUGCAGGAAGAAGAAGAGGAGAACUUCGUCUGGGAGGAGGAAUUCCAGGAAAAUCAGGUGGAGGCGAAGUGGAUCACGAUUGCAAAAGUCCAUAUAGAUAAGGGCUUUAGUCCAUCUGCCCUUUACUCGCAUAUGAGAUCCGCCUGGAAUCCGGCGAAGGAGCCGCGAUGGCGCAGGAUUGAGGAUAACCUAUUCACGGUUCAGUUUGGUUGCCUGGGUGACUGGAACAUGGCGAUGAACAUGGGGCUGUGGCUCUUCCGUGACCAUGGGCUUCUGAUUGCGGAAUAUGAUGGGUUCACGAACCCUACUUCUGUAGUACUGGACAAAAUUGUGGUAUGGGCAAGAAUCUUGAAGCUGCCUGAUAACUAUCUAAUUCCUGCAGCAAUUAAGGGGAUGUGUAGGAAGAUGGAGAAGAUCUUAGAGAUUCAAACUACCCUACCGGCGGGUUUUGCAGGCGAAUUUGUUCGAAUCAGAGUGGAACUUAAUGUCACAAAAAAGCUGAUUCGGUUUGUUGGGAUCACAAAGAAGGGAGUCACAGACUAUUACCAAGUUCAAUAUGAGAAGCUACCUAUCUUCUGUGGAUAG
Molecule: ribosomal RNA, 660 nt
Filed under: Triticum aestivum (bread wheat)
Lineage: Eukaryota; Viridiplantae; Streptophyta; Magnoliopsida; Poales; Poaceae
Description: partial small subunit ribosomal RNA
Source: RNAcentral